RNAcentral lists this transfer RNA (67 nucleotides) under Anatolichthys splendens. RNAcentral describes it as "Aphanius anatoliae splendens tRNA-Cys". Lineage: Eukaryota; Metazoa; Chordata; Actinopteri; Cyprinodontiformes; Aphaniidae. The record is from RNAcentral.
AGCCCCGAGGUGUCUUACAUAUCGGAUUGCAAAUCCGAAGUAGCAGGGUUACACCUGCCGGGGCUUU